Molecule: non-coding RNA, 74 nt
Organism: Podarcis lilfordi (Lilford's wall lizard)
Lineage: Eukaryota; Metazoa; Chordata; Lepidosauria; Squamata; Lacertidae
Source: the annotation of a GenBank genome assembly
GCCUGGAUAGCUCAGCUGGCUAGAGCAUGGCGCUGAUAAUGCCAAGGUUGCAGGUUCAGUUCCUGAAUCUGACA